This 255-nucleotide ribosomal RNA is filed under the name uncultured bacterium. RNAcentral describes it as "partial 16S ribosomal RNA". It matches the Rfam family "Bacterial small subunit ribosomal RNA", at positions 524 to 776 of the family's 1533-position model. The record is from RNAcentral.
UACGUAGGCAGCGAGCGUUGUUCGGAAUUACUGGGCGUAAAGAGUGUGUAGGCGGUGCUCUAAGUUCGGUGUGAAAUCUCCCGGCUUAACUGGGAGGGUGCGCCGGAAACUGGAGUGCUCGAGCGUGGGAGAGGAAAGGCGGAAGUUCCUGGUGUAGCGGUGAAAUGCGUAGAUAUCAGGAGGAACACCUGCGGUGUAGACGGCUUUCUGGACCAUUGCUGACGCUGAGACACGAAAGCGUGGGUAGCAAACAGG